UACGGGGGGGGCAAGCGUUGUUCGGAAUUACUGGGCGUAAAGGGCUCGUAGGCGGCCAACUAAGUCGGACGUGAAAUCCCUCGGCUUAACCGGGGAACGGCGUCCGAUACUGGAUGGCUUGAGUUUGGGAGAGGGAUGCGGAAUUCCAGGUGUAGCGGUGAAAUGCGUAGAUAUCAGGAGGAACACCGAUGGCGAAGGCAGGUCUCUGGGCCAUAACUGACGCUGAGAAGCGAAAGCAUGGGGAGCGAACAGG
Molecule: ribosomal RNA, 253 nt
Filed under: uncultured bacterium
Lineage: Bacteria
Description: partial 16S ribosomal RNA
Rfam family: Bacterial small subunit ribosomal RNA
Source: RNAcentral